Long non-coding RNA from Zophobas morio, 2146 nucleotides. RefSeq lists it as uncharacterized. The transcript has 16 exons. The record is from RefSeq and is a predicted model, not a curated record. NCBI's taxonomy places the organism in Eukaryota, Metazoa, Arthropoda, Insecta, Coleoptera, Tenebrionidae.
GUUGUGUUUUUUGAGGCAGAAGAUAAGCGUAUUAUAACAGUAAUGAUUUAUAAGGAUGGAGGCGAACCUUUACCCCUCUAACACCUAAGAACUAUACCGUAAAUGGGAGGAGUUAGCUCCAUUGACUGCAACACAGAUAGUUUCUGUUUCGGCUUUAGCUGAAUGAUAUAAUACAUCAACAGAAGACGGUUUCGGUCAUUCUAAUACUAAAGAUAACGAAGACGUUACUCUGCCACCCAUUAAUUCUGUGGAAGGGUUUUAAAUUUUUCUUUGGCCUUGAGAAAAAGCUGGAAGUGAAAAAUGAUUCUGCUUUGAGCUCUCAACUGUUCAACCCAAAAGUUAAUAUUUGAGCUUAUUAAACAAAGUAUAUACCUUGCGCAAACCUGGUCUAUAUAAAAGCUUUCCUUCACUCAUUAACUUCAAUUAUGAAGUCUUGGAAGGAAAUUGAAUCCGCUUUGGUGUCCCUUGAACGUCUUCAUAAGCAAUGCAGAUUAGUGAGCACCAAAACUAACGGGCUCCAUUCGGAUUGCACGCUACUAAUGGAAGAGCAGUCCGCUCUAAAAGCUCACGCAGACCAAAUUUUAUCAUGCCUUCAAUUUAUUUAGAACCAGAAAAAGCUACUAUUUAUCUUCAUUCUACGUCUGUAGUUGUUUUUUCUCCCUCUUUUAUCACUUUGUUAAGAAAGCUCGACGACUCUAUAUUGUUUUUGACCCAAAAGGGUUACUAUAAAGAUGCUAAGCUGUAUUUAGCAAAGUUUCAGCGCAUUCUCCACCAAGUUCUACUGCUUCUGAAAGUAGACGUACCAAAAAGCUGUAAAUGUGCGUCUUACAACUCACAUUUACGUUUACAAGAAAAUGAACUUUUUUUUGUCUGUAAGGAGCUUUUAAAGCGAACUCUCUCAUUAAAGGUUUAAUGGAAGAACUCUACUUAAAACGGCAACAGCAGGCAAACUACUUUGAAGUUUUCUUCGGUUGCGAGACUUGCUACAUUCGGCAGUGUCGCGCACUUCUUUUUAAAAUCUUUUGGAGGAAAGCAGUUUUAGCUGGGGCCCGUUAUAUAACGUAAUUCUCUUAUCAGAAACGCUAGCUGAACUAUGCGAAGUGCUGAGCUCAGAAUUUUUAGACUUAAAAAAAAAGUCUCCCUUUUGUAAGCUUUAAUGCGACCAUUCGUGAGCUGAUUCAAGAUGUACAAACGUCUAAUAACUCUUGCCCAUGUAUCUUGCUUGCCGUUUUCGAAAAGGCGGCAAAAAUAGUUUGUUUCCCAGAUCUUUAUUAUAAAGGACAUAGUAAAUUUUAAUCCAAAACCGGAAGAUUUGGACGUCCCAGCUAAAAUGACUACCGGUGCAUUUCGCGGGACCAAUAUACUAUGCUUACCACUAUUAUUUUUUAACAGGGGAACGUUACGAUCGGUAGUGCAAGCCGUUGCAGAAAACGCUUGCCUUUUUGGCUAUACGAUCUACCGUUGAGUUGACAGAUCUUGCUAGUGAGGCUAUCAGCGAUGCUUUAGAUGCCCACAAAAUUUAAGCAAUCUGUCAGAACUGGACGCACACUUGUUUCUCCUUGUGCACCUGCUGCUUCUGAAAGAGCAAUUAAUGCCCUUCGACAUCGAUUCAACCUGGCAAAGGGAAGCCAUAGCAGAAAAAGGGAUAUUUGUUUCUUGAGUUCUACAUGUAGUGGAGUAGAGCAAGGAUGAUCUGCUAGCAGACCGGGAAGCUCCCGCGUCUUACGAUCUUCUUCAGCUUUUUACAAGAGGUGGACCGCUUGUAUCUGUACCUUUUUCUCCUCCUAAGGAGAAAGUCGAACAGCACUUCGAAGUUGCUUACGUCGCUUUUCUGCAAUUUUCUGAUUAAUAUUUCACUUAACUCCUGCGUAAUUCCGUUGAAAAGAGUUUCUCAAAUCGUACGGACGUUCUUAUCUAGACGAACUCCAAGCUAAAAAUAAGUUAUUCUGUGAGUGCCUGCAUCUCUACUUGGGCGAAGUAAAGGAAGAGAGGAGCUCUACGCUGUAAAAAAAGUUUUUGAUUAUCUAAUCUUCUGCCAGAAUAAUUUAAGCAGCUUUGACUUUUCGGAACAUUACAAUUCAAUUCCUUGAAUCCUUAUUUAUGACUUAUAAAAAAAUAUAUGACUGUCCGUAGAGACUUUUCCUUA